GUUCAUAAGAGUCCUUUAGCUACGGGCAACAGCAUCGGCAAACUCACAGAUAAAAAGAGAGCGAUAAAUAUAUAUUUCUAUCUAUCUGCCAAUACACAUGUACAAAUAUGUAUACAUAUAUGUAUAACGGAAUGAAAUGAAUGUGUGCGUGCGACCGUGUAUGUGCGUGCAUAUGCACGACCGACAACAUCGGUUGCGGGUUUUAAAAAACAAAACACCGUAACAUUGAUGGCACAAAUGCUUGCGUUGUGGUUGCGGUUGUUGCUUUCGCAAGUAAGCGCGUUUGCAUUUUACCAGAUAAUCCAUAACAAAGCGUGUAAGACAUAAAAGUGAAAAUAUAAUGAAAGUAUUAUUAUUACCAAAGUUCGCUGAAUUGUUUUUGACUUAAAGCAAAAAGACAAAAGAAAAAAUUUACGUACUCUAAAGAAAAGAGAGAAAAAAUGUUCAUCAUACGCACGGGGUAUGACUUGAUCAUUAUUUAAAUAUUUUUAGCCGCUGCAAUGCAUAGAAAUGUGAACUUAAAAAUAUUCAUCAUACGCACUGUUCAAAUGUAAAUAUAUACUAAAAUGUGUAACCAAUGGAGUGCUUCCAAAUGCUUAUACGCACUGCUUACUCUUUAAUAUUGUUGUGUAAUAUUUUAGACAACAAAAAUUUACUCAUAAUGAUAUGCAAAUAUAUGAACUACUGAUGUAACGUUUUUUUUUGCACCUGUUUUUAUGAACUUAGCAAAAAAAAAAAAAAAAUGAUAUAUAAAAAAAUUAUAUUCAAUGUGAAGCAAUCCAUUAAAAACAGUUACUGUCAGGAAUAUUUGAUAAAUGUUUGCUGAAGAAGAUGAAAAAAGUAGUGAACUUUGAUAAUAUAACAUAUUAGCAUAAAAUAACAACAACAACAACAACAACGAUAGCACCAUGACGAUGCAAUAAAA
Glossina fuscipes is the source of this 925-nucleotide long non-coding RNA. RefSeq lists it as uncharacterized. The transcript is spliced from 2 exons. The record is from RefSeq and is a predicted model, not a curated record. Lineage: Eukaryota; Metazoa; Arthropoda; Insecta; Diptera; Glossinidae.